RNAcentral lists this ribosomal RNA (496 nucleotides) under Staphylococcus sp. 16. RNAcentral's name for it is "bacterial SSU rRNA". It matches the Rfam family "Bacterial small subunit ribosomal RNA", at positions 253 to 741 of the family's 1533-position model. Lineage: Bacteria; Bacillati; Bacillota; Bacilli; Caryophanales; Staphylococcaceae. The record is from RNAcentral.
UAAGGUAACGGCUUACCAAGGCAACGAUACGUAGCCGACCUGAGAGGGUGAUCGGCCACACUGGAACUGAGACACGGUCCAGACUCCUACGGGAGGCAGCAGUAGGGAAUCUUCCGCAAUGGGCGAAAGCCUGACGGAGCAACGCCGCGUGAGUGAUGAAGGUCUUCGGAUCGUAAAACUCUGUUAUCAGGGAAGAACAAAUGUGUAAGUAACUGUGCACAUCUUGACGGUACCUGAUCAGAAAGCCACGGCUAACUACGUGCCAGCAGCCGCGGUAAUACGUAGGUGGCAAGCGUUAUCCGGAAUUAUUGGGCGUAAAGCGCGCGUAGGCGGUUUUUUAAGUCUGAUGUGAAAGCCCACGGCUCAACCGUGGAGGGUCAUUGGAAACUGGAAAACUUGAGUGCAGAAGAGGAAAGUGGAAUUCCAUGUGUAGCGGUGAAAUGCGCAGAGAUAUGGAGGAACACCAGUGGCGAAGGCGACUUUCUGGUCUGUAACU